UUUUUUUCUUUUUUUUUUUUUUUGGUUGGAUGGUCUCCUGUUGUUAUCUGCUUGAGCGUAUUUUUUUUUUUUUUAUUUUUUGCAAAUGCAAUAUUUGGUUUUGGCUUGUGGUUGCCCUGUAUUUUAAAUAUGCUAACCCCUUCCCAUAAUUGUGUGUUUUAGCCUGAUGGUCCUGUAAGUUCAAACACUUCAUUACUAUAUUAAAAUUAAGAAGAGAAACAUACAAACAAACAAAAAGGUUUAUUUACUUCCUAACAUCCCUUGCCCACAUUUUAUGGUUUUGAUGACUCUUUUUUAUUUUUUUCUUUUUAAUUUUAUUUUGUUUGAAGCAUGUUCAUGAUUAAAACUGUAUGCUGGCUUAUUUGAGUGACUGCUCUCUGAUUGCAGUUUCCUCAGUCCUAGUUCUUCCUCUUCUUCUUCUUCUUUUUUUUUUUUUUCUUUUCUUUUUUCUUCCCUUUCCUUCCUUUCUUUUUGGUUUAGAGAAGCCCUUUCAAUAUUUCCUUUAACUUGGGUUUUGUGUUGCUGUAUUGUUUAAGUUUUUGUUUGUUGGGAAAAAAUUUUAUUUCCCCUUCUAUUUUAAAUGAUAUUCUUGCUGGAUAGAGUAUUCUAGGUUGCAUAUUUUUUCCUUUUAGCACUUUAAAUAUCUCACCAUUCCCUCCUGGCCUGUAGUGUUUCUGUAGAGAAAUCAGCUGAUAUUCUUAUGGGGGUUCCCUUGUAGGUAACAUUCUGUUUUUCUCUUGCUGCCUUUAGGAUCCUCUCCUUAUCACUAACUUUUGCCAUUUUUAUUAUGAUGUGUCUUGGUGUGGGUCUGUUUGGGUUCAGUUUGUUUGGGGCCCUCUGUGCUUAUUGUAUCUUGAACCCAGUAUCCUUUAGAUUUGGGAAGUUUCCAGCGAUAAUUUCUUCAAAUAUAUUUUCCAUCCCCUUAUCUUUUUCUACUCCUUCUGGAAUUCCUAUUAUGCAUAGAUUGGCCCGCUUUAUAUUAUCCCAUAGGUCUCUUAUAUUGCUUUCCAGUUUUUUGAUUCGGUUUUCUGUCUGUUGACUGGAUUGAGUGAUUUCCAUUAUUCUAUCUUCCAUAUCACUGAUUCGUUCUUCUGCAUUAUUCAUUCUGGUUUUUACUGCCCCUAGUUCAGUUUGCAUCUCUGCAAAUGAAUGUUCUGGUUUUUCUUGGCUCCUCCUUAUAUUUUCUACUUCCUUUCUGAGGUAUCUGCAUUACUGUUCAUAUCUUCUCUUAAUUCCUUCAGUAUUUUCACUAUUUCUCUUUUGAACUCCAGGUCUGUCUGACUGCAGAGAUCUGUUUCAUUGCUGCCUGUUUUAGGUGAGUUCUCCUGUUGGUUUGACUGGGGGUGGUUUCUCAGCUUCUUCAUCUUGCUUGUUGUUUUCUGUCUCCUGAGGGAGUUGUACUCUCCGUGAUCGGGCAGUGUUUGCCUUGUCACUGCCGUGGAAUAUUUCCUGAGGGCUGGCGUUGUUGGUCAAUCUUUUUUGAGGCAGUGUGGCUUUUCUGGAGUGUUGAUGGGGCUAACAGUGUUUCUUUGAAGCAAAGGAGGGCUUCCUGAGGGCAGACAGGACUGGGAGGUCCACACCACGAUGGUAGCAGAUUUCACUUGGUCAUGCAGAGCUUGCUCUGGUGUUUUUAGGCUGUGGGGUUCUUGCAGGGGGUUGGCAGUGUUGGAGCAGCUAUCUGGGUCACUGAGAACCUAAGAGGCUCUUCCCUAGGGCAGCCCAACUCAGGACAGCCUGAGAAUGUAGGUGGAUCUUUUCACAGUCUGGCCAAGCUUGUUGCAGCUUUUCUGGGCUGCAGGGGCUCUUCCAGGGGGCUGGUGGUGCUGAGCAGCUAUUCCGUGGGAGUGGGGCACCCCCUGGGGGCUUAGGCUGGUAGCAGGGCCACUGGAAACCCAAGAGGCUCCUCCCUGGGGCAACCCGACUCAGAAAAACCGUCUGAGAUCUUUCCCCGACUCGGCCAGGCUUGUUGCAGCUUUUCUGGGCUGCAGGGGGUCCUGCCUGGAGCUGGCAGUCCUAUGCAGCUGAUCCACUAGGGCACCCCCUGGGGGCUUGGGUGGGUAGCAGGGCCGCUGGAAAUCCAAGAGGCUCCUCCCCGGGGCAACCCGACUCAGAAAAACCAUCCGAGAAUUAGGCCGAUCUAUUCAACACCUGGCUAAGCUUGUUCUAGCUUUUCUGGGCUGCAGGCCUUUUCUCGGGGGCUGGUGGUGUUUGGUGCUGCUCUGCAGAAGUGUAGCCCCUCCAAAGGGCAAACAGACCUGUUCAGGGACAGCCCCUGUGGUGGUAGGCUUCAGGCAAUUGUUGAGGCCAGCCCUCCUGGAUGGCAGGCAGCCCCAGGUUCGGCGAGAGCGUAGGGGGUGGCGGGGGUGGAGGGAGGGGAUGCACUGGGAAGCACAGCUUUCUGCUAGCUAGCGGGCCUGUAAGCUUGCUGUGGCAUGGGGGGUAUUCUAUGGAGCCCCACCCCUUCUUCUCUCCCCUCCCCAGCAUGGGCGCAGACCAGGCUCUUCUCCCAGGUUCCCUCUGAUGCGGCUUUCCACGUCCCCGCCCCUAGAGUAUUGCUCCUUUCCUCUGCGACAGCUUUGUUUUCUAGUCUCCCAGGCAGUCUCUGCCCCAUCAAAUGGUUUCUAGACCUCCCAAGCAGUUUCCGCUCCACCCCGCCCCCCUAGCCUGGGGACUAACCUUCGGAGGCGAGGUCUCGGUGCCCAGCCCCCACCCAAGCGUCCCCCGGCCCUUUCUCGGGGACUAACCUUCGGAGGCAAGGAUUCAGUGCCCAGCCCCCACCCAGGCGUCUCCAUUUUGUCUCCAUUUUUGGUGACCGUGCACGUAGUUCAGAUGGUCCGUUUGGUUCUUGAUCGGCUUUUCCAUACUCCAACUUACUGUUGAACUCUUCUCUGCAUCUGGAGAUUCCUCUGGUUUGUUUGAUCUUUCCCCUGGUAGGUGACUUUCCAGGGUGCGGGAUCCCUUUCUCCUCUGCAGUUCCCUUUCAGGAGCACCCAUCCCGCUGGGAUUCACCUUCUCUCACUCUCCUCUUUUCUCCCAUUCUUCCCAGUAAUGUCACGAACUUCUUGCCAUUAUUGGAGUUUAGGUUCCUCUGCCAGCGAUUGGUUGCUGUUCUGUGCGAGUCAUUUAUUCUGUAGAUAUGCUUUUUUUGUUGUGUUUGUGGGAGAGGGCGAGCGUGUCCCCCUACUCCUCCUCCAUCUUGUCUUCUGCCUAUUUUGUGAUUUAAAUCAUUUUAAUGGGCAGUUCACUACAAAAUGAAAAGCAAAAAUCUAACUAAGCUAGUUGCAAUCAAUUACUGUUUGCCUAGGGUCCAUUGUUUUAAGCAUCUUCUCAACUUAAAAAAAAAAAUAAACAAAGUAAAUUAUAAUAAAAUACAUCUUGUUUUGUUAGAAAGUGUUUUACCAGUUACAUUUUGUACUGAAUUUCAAUUUCCUGAAUGCCUUAUCUCCUCUAAUCUCAGUUGAAAACAAUCAAAUCCCACUGCUUCCUUGGAGAUAACCAGAAAAUACAUUUUAGCUUAAUUUUAUCAGGAUGGAAAAGUCUCCUCCUUUAAACAUUCUUGUGGAAAAAAAGGCCAAUUCUUUGGCAAUGUUUGCUGAUAUAAACCAAGGUGUGUCUGUGCUAUUCAGUCUUAAACUUUACACUGUAAGUUUUAGGAAAGUACAGGACAUGCCCCACUAUAUUUCCAUUGUCUGGCAUGAAUGAAUGAGUAAAUAAUUAAAAAUUUUAGAACUCUCUGAUUUUAUUUAUUUAUUUAUUUUGCCUUUUCUAGGGCCUCUCCUGCGGCAUAUGGAGGUUCCCAGGCUAGGGAUCUAAUCGGAACUGUAGCCACCAGCCUAUGCCAGAACCACAGCAACGCAGGAUCGAAGCCGCAUCUGUGACCUACACCACAGCUCAGGGCAACGCUGGAUCAUUAACCCACUGAGCAAGGCUAGGGAUUGAACCUGCAACCUUACGGUUACUAGUUGGAUUUGUUAACCACUGAUUCCCAACGGGAACUCCAGAACUCUCAGAUUUUAAAUAUUUAUCUCUCCUAUUUCUCAAACUACUGACAGAUUUUUGCUUUUAAUCUUUCCUCAAAAAUUUGCAUGCUUACCAAAGACCUAUAAAGUAAAAGGAAAAGGAAAUUGUGAGGUGUACACACAUAGAGAAUAUAGAUAAAAAGGAUGGCUCUUAGAGUAGAUUGCCUACCUUUGAUCUUCAUUCUGAUUCUUAGAGGUUUAUUUUUAGCUGAGACACUAAAAUCUUGCAAACUCCAUAGUCUUUUUGAUCCUUUCUGGAUAUAAAAAUAGUAUAUCAUCUCUUUGGGUCAUCGUGAAUGCAUGGCAUGCAGUGAUCAACCAAUUAAUGUUAAAUACUAUUAUUUUUAUUUUGUUAUUUCUAGUCUAUUCUACUUCAGAAUUCAAAUAUUUCCUUGAGCUGACAUCAAACUGCUUUCUCACCUUCAGCUCCCAGUAGAUUCUCACUGUUCUUUAGCAACACUUGUUUGCUGACCAUUUUUAAGAUGUUAUUCUACACAUUUUACAUCUCUAGGCCUGUUUAUACAAAUUUAAACUCUUUCUCAAGGUACAAUUUAAACAUCCUCUGGGAUGGAUUACUGACCUCCAAGUCAACUGCAUCCUAGCAGGUGGAUUUUCUGUAUCAUGAACAGCACUUUGAAUUUUGUAGCAAGGGGAAAGUAAGCAAGCAUUGUGUGGACACUUUUUAGAAACUCUUCGAAAAGUAACACAGAUGUAAGAUAGAUUUUCUUUGAAAUUUUCCCUGCUUCCCUUUGCUCUCCUCUAGAUAAAGCACUUUCAGUUGAACUUCCAGCUUCCCAUUUGAAUCAUAAGUAAAACAAGGACAGGAGCCUUGCACUGUAAGAUGGAAUGGCAGAAAAACAGGAGCCUAGGUUCCUGAUGACCUCUGAACUUCUUUUAUGUAAGAGAAAACAAAUUGCUUUUCUUGUUUAAACAAUCAUAGUUUGAGUUUUCUCUUGUGUAUAACUAAGGUGUUAUUACCCUAGUUAAGGUGCUAAUUAAAAUGAUAAUCAAUUCAUUUAAUUAUGAUGACUGAAUUGUACAAUAAGAAUGCACCUAUUACUUCAAUUAAAACAAAAAAAUCAGAGAUUGCUAGAUCAAAUUUUACUCUCUACUUAAGAAUAGAGAUACAGGGAGUUCCCUUCUUGGCUCAGUGGUUAAGGAACCCGACUAGGAUCCAUGAGGAUCAGGGUUUGAUCUCUGGCCUCGCUCUGUGGGUUGAGGAUCCAGUGUUGCCCUGAGCUGUGAUGUAGUUCGAAGGUGCAUCUCGGAUCUGGUGUUACUAUGGCUGUGGUGUAGGCUGUCAGCUACAGCUCUGAUUCUACCCCUAGCCUGGGAACUUCCAUGUA
Molecule: long non-coding RNA, 5365 nt
Filed under: Sus scrofa (pig)
Lineage: Eukaryota; Metazoa; Chordata; Mammalia; Artiodactyla; Suidae
Description: lncRNA (ENSSSCG00000059069.1)
Source: RNAcentral